This 895-nucleotide small RNA is filed under the name Pan troglodytes (chimpanzee). RNAcentral describes it as "processed transcript". Lineage: Eukaryota; Metazoa; Chordata; Mammalia; Primates; Hominidae. The record is from RNAcentral.
UCCUGGAUGCUGAUCCAUCCACCAGGCUUUCAUUGUCUAACGUCGACAGUCUAUAUUUCUGCUCUUCAGUCUGUCCUUAGGAUGAAGCUCUAACUGAACUGAAGUCUGUCUUCCUUUUGGGCUCUGUGCAACUGCAGCUACAGUGGAAAAAAGCAAACUGCUCUUGAUCCCAGAAGGUUGGUAUGUGCAUGAGCACCAUGUAGGGACCUGGGGGGUAGGGGGUGGGGCAUCAUAGCAGAAUCUGAGAUGAUCUCUACUGUUUUUCCAGCUCUCUACCAGCUUUACCCAUGUCUGUACUGCCUCUCGUCCUUCCAUUUAGAUGCUGGAAGUUGUAGGCAUUGGCAGAGCAGGCUAAGGUUGAAGAUGUAGAAAACGUUAAACUAGGUCUGUGAAUCAGCAAACACAGGCCUUGACACCUGUGUCUGGGUGCUAGCCCGCCAACGAAGCAUUGUGUCCCUAAACUCUUCUCUAAGUAGAACUGGUUAGACACGAAGUGAGCCAGAGCCCUAAGCCUCAUUUUUAUCCUUUACCCCUAGGCCCUGCCUAAGCCUCAGCAGAACUUGUAAGCCUAAACUGAAGAGCCUCACCCGGACGAGCAGGCAUCCCUUAACCUUAAGCAAUCCAGUUCCACGCCCUGGAUCAGUGAAUAACCCCAGCUGCACCAUGAGCCGCGUUCGGGAUGCUGGCUGUGUAGCGGCGGGGAUAGUGAUAGGGGCUGGUGCCUGGUACUGUGUCUACAAAUACACCAGAGGGAGAGACCAGACCAAGAAGAGAAUGGCCAAGCCCAAAAACCGGGCUGUGGCUGGGACUGGAGCCAGGGCUAGAGCUGGGCUAAGAGCUGGAUUCACAAUCGACCUUGGGUCAGGAUUCAGUCCCCCAACCCCAGUCCGUGCUG